CGGCAAAUUACCCAAUCCCUGACACGGGGAGGUAGUGACAAUCAAAUACUGAUACAGGGCUCUUUUGGGUCUCUGUGAAAUUGGAAUCGAGUACAAUCUUCAAAUCCCUUAACGAGGAACAAUUGGAGGGCAAGUCCUUGGUGCCAAGAAGGCGGGGUAAAUUCCAGCUCCAAUAGCGUAUCAUCUCA
Molecule: ribosomal RNA, 188 nt
Filed under: uncultured fungus
Lineage: Eukaryota; Fungi
Description: partial 18S small subunit ribosomal RNA
Rfam family: Eukaryotic small subunit ribosomal RNA
Source: RNAcentral